This 691-nucleotide ribosomal RNA is filed under the name Austrochloritis ascensa. RNAcentral describes it as "partial large subunit ribosomal RNA". Lineage: Eukaryota; Metazoa; Mollusca; Gastropoda; Stylommatophora; Camaenidae. The record is from RNAcentral.
AACUAAAAUUAAUAUAAUUUUUAUAUUUCACGGAAGUUGAAGGGAGCUAAGUUAUUAUUUUAUUUAUAGAUACCCAAGAUGUUGCAUAAUUUAGAAAAUAAUAAUUAGGAGUGAUAGGCUUACCAUACUCAACGAUAACUUGAUGGCUUGGAAAUGUACUAGUACAGGGGCACUCUUGAAGUGAUAAGGUUUUAAGGGGGUAACAAAUAUUUAAUUAAAUUGAGUAUAUUGUUUAAUCGUUUAUACAAUAAUAAUCUAACAUUUAUUUACUAAAGCUGUUUAAUUUAAAGGCCUAUUGAUUAAUUAAUUUCAAAUAAAUAAUGUUAAUAUUAGUAACUUAAAGAUAUUUGUAAAGAACUCGGCAAUAAGUCUUUCAACUGUUUAUCAAAAACAUAGCUAUAUGAAUUGAUAUAUAGUAUUUUCUGCUCAAUGAAUAUUAAAUAGCCGCAGUACCCUGACUGUGCUAAGGUAGCGCAAUCAAUUGACUUUUGAAUGAAGUCCUGUAUGAAAGAAAACAUGAAGGGCUACUUUUUUAUUAAUAAUAAAUGAAUUUACUUAAGAAGUGCAAAUUCUUCUAAAUAAAUAAUAGACGAAAAGACCCUAGAAAUUUUGAGAGGGACUUUUUGUUGGGGGCAACAAAGUAGUAUAAUAAAUUCUACUAUUAAAACAAGAAAAGUAUAUUUUGAAAGAA